AGAGUUUGAUCAUGGCUCAGAGUGAACGCUGGCGGCAGGCCUAAUACAUGCAAGUCGAACGGCUGCACAGCAGAGCUUGCUCUGUGGGUGGCGAGUGGCGGACGGGUGAGGAAUACGUGGGAAUCUGCCCAGUCGUGGGGGAUAACGUAGGGAAACUUACGCUAAUACCGCAUGCGCCCUUCGGGGGAAAGCCGGGGACCUUCGGGCCUGGCGCGAUUGGAUGAGCCCACGUCGGAUUAGCUAGUUGGCGGGGUAAAGGCCCACCAAGGCGACGAUCCGUAGCUGGUCUGAGAGGAUGAUCAGCCACACUGGAACUGAGACACGGUCCAGACUCCUACGGGAGGCAGCAGUAGGGAAUAUUGGACAAUGGGCGCAAGCCUGAUCCAGCCAUGCCGCGUGAGUGAAGAAGGCCCUCGGGUUGUAAAGCUCUUUUGUCCGGAAAGAAAAGCGCCGGGUUAAUACCCUGGUGUCCUGACGGUACCGGAAGAAUAAGCACCGGCUAACUUCGUG
Molecule: ribosomal RNA, 510 nt
Filed under: uncultured bacterium
Lineage: Bacteria
Description: bacterial SSU rRNA
Rfam family: Bacterial small subunit ribosomal RNA
Source: RNAcentral